AUGAACGCUGGCGGCGUGCCUAAUACAUGCAAGUCGAGCGAACAGACGAGGAGCUUGCUCCUCUGACGUUAGCGGCGGACGGGUGAGUAACACGUGGAUAACCUACCUAUAAGACUGGGAUAACUUCGGGAAACCGGAGCUAAUACCGGAUAAUAUAUUGAACCGCAUGGUUCAAUAGUGAAAGACGGUUUUGCUGUCACCUAUAGAUGGAUCCGCGCCGCAUUAGCUAGUUGGUAAGGUAACGGCUUACCAAGGCAACGAUGCGUAGCCGACCUGAGAGGGUGAUCAGCCACACUGGAACUGAGACACGGUCCAGACUCCUACGGGAGGCAGCAGUAGGGAAUCUUCCGCAAUGGGCGAAAGCCUGACGGAGCAACGCCGCGUGAGUGAUGAAGGUCUUCGGAUCGUAAAACUCUGUUAUUAGGGAAGAACAAAUGUGUAAGUAACUAUGCACGUCUUGACGGUACCUAAUCAGAAAGCCACGGCUAACUACGUG
This 496-nucleotide ribosomal RNA is filed under the name uncultured bacterium. Its description in RNAcentral is "partial 16S ribosomal RNA". It matches the Rfam family "Bacterial small subunit ribosomal RNA", at positions 29 to 507 of the family's 1533-position model. The record is from RNAcentral.